Molecule: ribosomal RNA, 581 nt
Filed under: uncultured bacterium
Lineage: Bacteria
Description: partial 16S ribosomal RNA
Rfam family: Bacterial small subunit ribosomal RNA
Source: RNAcentral
UGGGGAAUUUUGGACAAUGGGCGAAAGCCUGAUCCAGCAAUGCCGCGUGUGUGAAGAAGGCCUUCGGGUUGUAAAGCACUUUUGUCCGGAAAGAAAUCCUUGGCUCUAAUACAGUCGGGGGAUGACGGUACCGGAAGAAUAAGCACCGGCUAACUACGUGCCAGCAGCCGCGGUAAUACGUAGGGUGCAAGCGUUAAUCGGAAUUACUGGGCGUAAAGCGUGCGCAGGCGGUUUGCUAAGACCGAUGUGAAAUCCCCGGGCUCAACCUGGGAACUGCAUUGGUGACUGGCAGGCUAGAGUAUGGCAGAGGGGGGUAGAAUUCCACGUGUAGCAGUGAAAUGCGUAGAGAUGUGGAGGAAUACCGAUGGCGAAGGCAGCCCCCUGGGCCAAUACUGACGCUCAUGCACGAAAAGCGUGGGGGAGCAAACAGGAUUAGAUACCCUGGUAGUCCACGCCCUAAAACGAUGUCAACUAGUUGUUGGGGAUUCAUUUCCUUAGUAACGUAGCUAACGCGUGAAGUUGACCGCCUGGGGAGUACGGUCGCAAGAUUAAAACUCAAAUGAAUUGACGGGGUCAUAGCU